RNAcentral lists this ribosomal RNA (575 nucleotides) under Lachancea mirantina. Its description in RNAcentral is "LSU rRNA". It matches the Rfam family "Eukaryotic large subunit ribosomal RNA", at positions 70 to 661 of the family's 3401-position model. Lineage: Eukaryota; Fungi; Ascomycota; Saccharomycetes; Saccharomycetales; Saccharomycetaceae. The record is from RNAcentral.
CGGGAUUGCCUUAGUAACGGCGAGUGAAGCGGCAAAAGCUCAAAUUUGAAAUCUGGCACCUUCGGUGUCCGAGUUGUAAUUUGAAGAAGCAACUUUGGGGCUGGUCCUUGUCUAUGUUCCUUGGAACAGGACGUCAUGGAGGGUGAGAAUCCCGUGUGGCGAGGAUCCCAGUUCUUUGUAAAGUGCUUUCGACGAGUCGAGUUGUUUGGGAAUGCAGCUCUAAGUGGGUGGUAAAUUCCAUCUAAAGCUAAAUAUUGGCGAGAGACCGAUAGCGAACAAGUACAGUGAUGGAAAGAUGAAAAGAACUUUGAAAAGAGAGUGAAAAAGGACGUGAAAUUGUUGAAAGGGAAGGGCAUUUGAUCAGACAUGGUGUUUUGCGACCCUCGCUCCUUGUGGGUGGGGAUCUCGCAGUUCACUGGGCCAGCAUCAGUUUUGGCGGCAGGAUAAAUCUUUGGGAAUGUAGCUUUGCUUCGGGAAAGUGUUAUAGCCCAGGGGAAUACUGCCAGCCGGGACUGAGGAUUGCGACUUUGUCAAGGAUGUUGGCAUAAUGGUUAAAUGCCACCCGUCUUGAAACA